Molecule: long non-coding RNA, 1009 nt
Filed under: Medicago truncatula (barrel medic)
Lineage: Eukaryota; Viridiplantae; Streptophyta; Magnoliopsida; Fabales; Fabaceae
Description: lncRNA gene3319
Source: RNAcentral
GCUUGCCAACUAGUUAGUUAUUCUUGAAUUGUUUUAUGCAUACAUUUAUUAAUAUUCCUUAUUGAAAUUAUUCUGCAGGUUGGAGUAUGAGCAAAAUCAGGACAUAAGUUCACGAAUUCAAGAAUUGGAAUCUUCUGUAAGUGCUUUAGAGAAUGAUUUAAAACGGGUACAGACAAAGAGGCUGAAGCAAAGUCAGCAGGAGAGGAAGUUACUGAAGAGAUCAAUCAGUUAAAAGAUGAAGUUAAAGUGGAAAUCAAAGUUAGAGGAUUGUGAAGAGGAAACCCAGGAAUGGAAGAAGGCUUCGGAAGCCAAUACAAACUUGGAAAACUUAAUCGUGGUUAGAUGAGUGAAAUUUCUUUGCCCACAUACUUUCAUACCUGCAUAGAUAGCCAACAUCUUUAGUGUUGUUACAAGAGGCACAGAUUGAGAAGUUGUUAUAGGAGGCUCUGCUUGAAAAAGAAGGAGCUGUAACUGAAGAGUUUGAAGCUGACAGGAAAUUAACUCUAUAUUGGCAAGCCCACGCCAUGAAAUUGUGAUGUGACCUACUUUAAAUAGCCAGCCUGUGACAGCUCUGGCACAAUAGUGCGACUAUAGGGAACUUUAAUAAUAUGUUUGCUUAUUGUUUAGUGAGGUAGUAGUAGUUUAUUACUUGCUUUAAGCUUCCUGGCUCUCAAGCAAUGUUAUCACAUAUCGUUCAUGAUUGUGUCAUGGCGGAUUGAGGUGCCGGAUUUUUUUACGAUUGCCAUUGCCAAUUUGUGAAGGACGGUGGUGCCAUGGCGCUUUAUGCCGGCUUUCUAUCGCGGGCUCUUUGCUUCCCAUCACACUCCACCAUAAGACAUUGAUAAUUGAAACUUUUUAUGUGUUGAUUUUCUCUAGGGGUGAGAAUAGGUUCGGGAUGAGCAAGACUUUGCUUAGAUAGUCCUUGCCUGUAAAAAGAAUGUAAGGUCUAACCGUAGGUUUUAUUUCAAGCAUGAUUUUUGACCUGUUUUGAAUGAACAAUGCUUUAGUC